This is a long non-coding RNA of Eubalaena glacialis (North Atlantic right whale), 795 nucleotides long. RefSeq lists it as uncharacterized. The record is from RefSeq and is a predicted model, not a curated record. NCBI's taxonomy places the organism in Eukaryota, Metazoa, Chordata, Mammalia, Artiodactyla, Balaenidae. The transcript has 4 exons.
UCCCGCCUUUCUGGCCGCGCCCGUCCGGAGCUCGCUCCCCAUCCCGGAGGCGACCUCGGAUGCUCCUUCCUUUCUGGCCUUGUCCCUGCCCUACCUCCACGUUAUUCCGUUCUUCUCCUUGAGCCCUUGACUUUUUAUGAGUGACCUGGAAGACCUCAGAGAAGCCAUGGCAACAAAGGGCCUUGUGCUCACUACAGCAGAGCGUCCUGUCUUUGUCCGAUCCAGCCCAGUACAUCAGUCUCUGCAAAUAACAAAAGAUGUGGCCACUCAGCCGCCUGUCUGUGCCCCCACCAGAGCACUGAGAAAGGUUGAGGCCUCUCCAACUGGAACUGAACUAGGAGAGCAGCAGACAGGAAGUCCCUCUGUAGCAGGAACUGAUUCAACCUUUGCUGCUUUAGCCCUCAGUAGAUGGAAAUGCUGAAGCUCCUACGUCCUCUGUGCUUCUCUUUCUGAACACUCUUCCCUGGUGGUUGGCAAUCUGCCUGCCAAUGCAGGGGACACGGGUUCAAGCCCUGGUCCAGGAAGAUCCCACAUGCCGCGGAGCAACUAAGCCCAUGCACCACAACUACUGAGUCUGUGCUCUAGAGCCCGCGAGCCACAACUACUGAAGCUCACCCGCCUAGAGCCCGUGCUCCGCAACAAGAGCAGCCACCGCAGUGAGAAGCCUGCACACCGCAACGAAGAGUAGCCCCCGCUUGCCGCAACUAGAGAAAGCCCGCACGCAGCAACGAAGACCCAAGGCAGCCAAAAAAAAAAAAAAGAAAUAGAAGUGUCUUUAAAAAAAAUAAAAUAAAA